UAGAUAUAAAUAUUUACUUGCAAUAAAAAUAUAUAGAUAAAAUCUAUUAUAUCUAU
This 56-nucleotide transfer RNA is filed under the name Riccardoella reaumuri. RNAcentral's name for it is "tRNA-Ala". The record is from RNAcentral. Lineage: Eukaryota; Metazoa; Arthropoda; Arachnida; Trombidiformes; Ereynetidae.